CAGUAGCCGCGGUAAUACGUAGGGUGCAAGCGUUAAUCGGAAUUACUGGGCGUAAAGCGUGCGCAGGCGGUCCGCUAAGACAGAUGUGAAAUCCCCGGGCUUAACCUGGGAACUGCAUUUGUGACUGGCGGGCUAGAGUAUGGCAGAGGGGGGUAGAAUUCCACGUGUAGCAGAGAAAUGCGUAGAGAUGUGGAGGAAUACCGAUGGCGAAGGCAGCCCCCUGGGCCAAUACUGACGCUCAUGCACGAAAGCGUGGGGAGCAAACAGGAUUAGAUACCCGCGUAGUCCCUGUCUCUUAUAA
Molecule: ribosomal RNA, 301 nt
Filed under: uncultured bacterium
Lineage: Bacteria
Description: partial 16S ribosomal RNA
Rfam family: Bacterial small subunit ribosomal RNA
Source: RNAcentral